RNAcentral lists this long non-coding RNA (391 nucleotides) under Hordeum vulgare. RNAcentral's name for it is "long non-coding RNA (HVUL_LNC001933)". The record is from RNAcentral. Lineage: Eukaryota; Viridiplantae; Streptophyta; Magnoliopsida; Poales; Poaceae.
CGGACGGGAGGUUGCCGGAGUUGACGGCCCUGACGGUUGCUGUUGCCUGAAGCAAACAAGACACACAGGAGGUUUCAGAUAAGAAGGAAAGAGAGGGCAGGGAAGAAGAAAGAUAGAGAGAGGGCAGGGCACGACGCUCCCCUGCUAGACCGACGAGGCUGGGCAGCGGUGCUCGCCGGCGACAGUCCGGCGCUUGCACGGGCAUCCACGGUGGCUAGCUCCAGCAGCUAGGGGAGGGAGUCAGAGAGGAGCUCGGGGACGAGCUCGUGCUCAUGCGCGGGAGGCCGGCGCAGGGCUGCUGCAAGUGGAUCAGGAGGGGCUCAAUGGUUGGGGGAUUGGAUCUGGAGUGGAUCCCGAUGAAGACAGUGGCGGCGGACAACGGAUGGAUGGG